Molecule: non-coding RNA, 74 nt
Organism: Camillea tinctor
Lineage: Eukaryota; Fungi; Ascomycota; Sordariomycetes; Xylariales; Graphostromataceae
Source: the annotation of a GenBank genome assembly
CGCUAGGUGGCGCAACGGUAAGCGCGCCGGUCCUCCGGUGACCGGAGAUGGGGGUUCGAAUCCCUCCCUAGCGA